AUCUCUUAGUAAUGGCGAAUGAAAAGAGAUGUGCUUAGUGUCAAAAUCAGGUUAUCCUGAAUUGUAGGCUGUAGGGGUGAUGCCAACUUGGGUGCAGGUGAAAGUCUCUUGGAAAGGAGCACCAGUGAGGGUCAGGGUCCCGCCUGUCAUCUGUCAUCCCUUGUAGACGGUUUGCCCAUUGAGAGUCGUGUUCUUCUGGAAUAGAGCGCCAAACGGGUGGUACUCUUUGCCUAAGGAGCAUUACGUGCUUGAGACCAAUAGCGAACAAGUACCAUGAGGGAAGGGUGAAAAGGACUUUGGAAAGAGGGUUAAGAGGGCUUGAAGCUGCUGGAAGGGAAGUGGAUUGGACUUUUACUCCGCGGCAAGAUUGCAGGCUGUAGUCUUCACUUGUGGGGAACUGCGUACUGUGUCUCUUGCCGCAUGGUUGAGCUCUGUGUAGCGCUCAGAAUCUUAGCGUGGACUGGAGAAGGGUUGCGAUCUGGACCAUGUCUUUGCCUACUCUUAGCGCAACAUUUAUCUUGACCAAAUAGUUCAAUUUUACCCGUCUUGAAACACGGACCAAGGAGUCUAAUGCGUGUGCGAGUGUAAGGGAUUGACACCUGACAGCUCAACAAAGGUGACUGCUGGGAUUCUUGCACCAGCAACCAACUGAUCGCUUAGGAGAUGUUUGUGUAUGAGCACACUUGCUAGGACCCGAAAGGUGGUGAACUAUGCCUGAGAAGGGUGACGUCAGGGGAAACUCUGAUGGAAGCUCGUAGCGCUACUGACGUGCAAAUCGUUCGUCUGACUUGGGUAUA
This 797-nucleotide ribosomal RNA is filed under the name Amphidinium massartii. Its description in RNAcentral is "partial large subunit ribosomal RNA". It matches the Rfam family "Eukaryotic large subunit ribosomal RNA", at positions 73 to 919 of the family's 3401-position model. The record is from RNAcentral. Lineage: Eukaryota; Dinophyceae; Amphidiniales; Amphidiniaceae.